AAUCUCUCGCUAAGAGAUCCUCAUCUCAGUACCGCUCUGAAGGUUCAAAUCUAGUUCACUAGAGCAACUCAAGUGACGUCAUCUAUGAUGGCUACUCUACACCAUUAGAUCAUUUACAGGCUUCAAGAUCAUGCAAUGGAUCUAUCACAACCACCUGUUUCAAAUGAUGCUUUACUUGUCUUGGCUGAUAUCGAGUCUACACCAACAAUAGUACAGAUACCUAGGCAACUGCCUAGA
This 237-nucleotide unclassified non-coding RNA is filed under the name Hevea brasiliensis (rubber tree). The record is from RNAcentral. Lineage: Eukaryota; Viridiplantae; Streptophyta; Magnoliopsida; Malpighiales; Euphorbiaceae.